RNAcentral lists this ribosomal RNA (505 nucleotides) under uncultured bacterium. RNAcentral describes it as "bacterial SSU rRNA". It matches the Rfam family "Bacterial small subunit ribosomal RNA", at positions 24 to 518 of the family's 1533-position model. The record is from RNAcentral.
UCAGGAUGAACGCUAGCUACAGGCUUAACACAUGCAAGUCAGGGGCAGCAUUAUCGAAGCUUGCUUGAUAGAUGGCGACCGGCGCACGGGUGAGUAACGCGUAUCCAACCUUCCCAUCACUCAGGGAUAGCCCGCCGAAAGGCGAAUUAAUACCUGAUGGUCUCCUUUGCAGACAUCUAACGAGGAGUAAAGAUUCAUUGGUGAUGGAUGGGGAUGCGUCUGAUUAGGUAGUAGGCGGGGUAACGGCCCACCUAGCCGACGAUCAGUAGGGGUUCUGAGAGGAAGGUCCCCCACAUUGGAACUGAGACACGGUCCAAACUCCUACGGGAGGCAGCAGUGAGGAAUAUUGGUCAAUGGACGGAAGUCUGAACCAGCCAAGUAGCGUGCAGGGAAUGACGGCCCUAUGGGUUGUAAACUGCUUUUGUGCGGGAAUAAAGUAUGGGACGUGUCCCAUUUUGCAUGUACCGCACGAAUAAGGACCGGCUAAUUCCGUGCCAGCAGCUGC